GGAAGGGUGGCCGAGUGGCUUAAGGCGCCGCUCUCGAAAAGCGGUAGACCCUAACGGGUCUCGUGAGUUCAAAUCUCACCCCUUCCG
Molecule: transfer RNA, 87 nt
Filed under: Elusimicrobia bacterium RIFCSPLOWO2_01_FULL_64_13
Lineage: Bacteria; Pseudomonadati; Elusimicrobiota
Description: tRNA-Ser
Rfam family: tRNA
About the family: Transfer RNA (tRNA) molecules are approximately 80 nucleotides in length.
Source: RNAcentral